RNAcentral lists this non-coding RNA (1125 nucleotides) under Pongo abelii (Sumatran orangutan). The record is from RNAcentral. Lineage: Eukaryota; Metazoa; Chordata; Mammalia; Primates; Hominidae.
UGUCUUUCCUUCUACUGCAUACUGAGCUCCUGAAGGCACUGGGGCUUGCUCCCAUUUGUACCCUGGAGCACACAGUAGGUGCUUACUAAGUGACUGUGGAACAGAACCGCUAAUAUUUUUGAAACACAGAUUUGGAAACAUCCUCCCAGAAAACAAACUACAACAAAUCACUUCCCUGGUAUGAAGGAAUGAAGUUUUUUGUUUCUUUCAUAGUCCUAAAAAAAAAAUCCCCCAAGAGCUCACCAGCAUGAAGGCACUAGCUCUGACCAUGAUAUGGAGGAACAAUGAUUUGAAGACGUUUGAAAGGCAAGCAACUUGACACAGGGCAUCUUUCUAGAUCAUCGUUUGGAAGAGAACCAUCAGGACGAGCCCAGGGGUCCUGUGAAACGCUGUUGGCCUGGGCGAGGAGGGAACUGGUGCUCGUCACUGGCCCUCUUCAGAAACAAUCCGCUCCGUCCAAGUGCAAUAUGAGUAUUUCCAGCUGACCAUGGGGAAACUUGUUUUCUAGUUUAUCCCAGCAACAUUAUCAAGAAAAUGGUCAAUGGAGUCAACAAAUGCAAACCUCUGGAAAACAUUUCAGAGACUGGCUUGUUGCUACAACAAGAACAGUGAUAUCAUAAUCACCAUUGUGGAGCGGAUGCCAGGUAGCACUGCCAACCUCUUCAGAAUAAUUGACAUUUUUCUAACAUGCAGAGUGGCCAUAACAACCACUUCAGCUACACAAUAGCCUCCACCGUAACACUUCCUUAGCAACCUGCUUAACACCGAGACUUUGAAAUCAUCCGCUAUUUUGGCAGCAGGAUGAAUAUUUGCCGGUCGUGAACUUUUCAAAGGUCAUCAGCUGGAAACAAGCCGGCCCACUUCCUUUGCCCACCCUGCCACUACCUGUCGUACCCAUCCAUCAUAGGACAUAAUGCUUAAGCACUUGAGGAAAAGAUAAUGCACCGCUUACAUUUUCCUAAUGGAACAAGAAAUUUUAUUUUGGGGAUGUUGGGGGAAAAAAGUCGUAGUGUUACUGACCCAUGUUUUAUUAACCUGUCUCCAAUUAACAGAAAGGAUGACACUAAUUGAAAACAAACCAUUUUGCUUAAGCAAUUAAUCUUUUGUGGUUUAUCUUUUAAAGCC